UGUUUCUUGCAGUUGGAUCCUUUGGAAAAGGAGUGGCUGAAGUGUGCUGCCAGUGGGCAAUUAACUGCUUUGUGUGAUCUCCUCAGGCAGGAUCCAUCUUUGGCAACAAAAAAGGACUUCACGUCUGGGGUAAGUACCUAAUCAAACAGAUUCUAUAGUCUGUAUAUCUCUGAAUUUUGUUUAGGUUUCAUUUGUCCCACACUGGUAUAAAUUGCAACUUGUAAAAUUUCUCGUC
Molecule: long non-coding RNA, 235 nt
Organism: Rhincodon typus (whale shark)
Lineage: Eukaryota; Metazoa; Chordata; Chondrichthyes; Orectolobiformes; Rhincodontidae
Exons: 3
Source: RefSeq, a predicted model, not a curated record